RNAcentral lists this ribosomal RNA (531 nucleotides) under Triticum aestivum (bread wheat). RNAcentral's name for it is "partial small subunit ribosomal RNA". Lineage: Eukaryota; Viridiplantae; Streptophyta; Magnoliopsida; Poales; Poaceae. The record is from RNAcentral.
AUGAUUUUAAAGGUUAAUACACCGAAAAAGGUAACCCAAUUUAGGCCGACCAGCUUAUGUAAUGUGGUAUAUAAAAUAAUUACAAAAAUGAUGGCUUAUCGGUUGAAGGUCUUCCUGCCAGAUAUUAUUAGCCCAACUCAAAGUGCUUUCGUACCCGGCAGACUGCUAACAUAUAAUAUUUUAGUAGCUUAUGAAUGUUUUCACACACUCAAGAAUAAAAGAGAAGGUAGAGAGGGUUUAUGCGCUAUAAAACUUGAUAUGCACAAAGCUUAUGACAGAGUUGAAUGGCCUUCUUUGAAAGAAAUUAUGUUGCGAUUGGGUUUCCGUCAAGAUUGGGUAAAUUUUAUUAUGCAAUGCGUCUCAACGGUCGAGUACAGAGUAAGGAUUAAUGCGGAGAAAAGUGAGAGCUUCAAGCCUACAAAGGGUUUGAGACAUGGAGACCUGUUGUCACCAUACCUCUUCUUGUUGUGCAUUAAGAGUUUGAACGCGUUCUUACACAUGCGGAGGAAAAUGGAAAAAUUUCAGGAGUAA